RNAcentral lists this small RNA (232 nucleotides) under uncultured Neobacillus sp. RNAcentral describes it as "BsrG". The stretch from base 1 to 207 matches the Rfam family "BsrG", at positions 8 to 224 of the family's 259-position model. From Rfam's summary of the family: bsrE, bsrG and bsrH pair through intermolecular interactions with antisense sRNAs. SR4 interaction with the 3'UTR of bsrG RNA promotes bsrG degradation and inhibits its translation. Lineage: Bacteria; Bacillati; Bacillota; Bacilli; Caryophanales; Bacillaceae. The record is from RNAcentral.
AGGUAUUCUCAAGGGUGGUCGGCCACUCCCAGCAAGAAGUGGGUGAUGCUGAAUGACAGUGUUUGAAACAUUAAUGAUUACGAUUGCAUUUGCUAGUUUAAUCGUAGCCAUCCUGUCAUUUAACCAAAAAAAUAAUCCACCCUUGAGUUAAUGAUCAGACUCGGGUGGAUUACUUCUACCUAGAGCCGAUCCCCUUGAUGGGAACCUGCUAUUGCAUGGACCGUUAGUGUGU